CUUUGUUCAGAGAGCACAAGUCCAGAAAGCCUGAAGCAAAUACCAGAAGUAACCAGUGCCCAACAGAGAAACCAAAGAGACCCAGUCUGCUUGUAGGAAAGUCAUAUUUCAGCUCUUGUGUUUAUGAAUCUGCUGUUUCCACCACUGUACUUGGCACUGCUGCCUCCUAUUGUGAAUGCUGCUGCAAAUGCUAGGCACUCUCAGCACUAUGUGUUUUCCUUUACAGCAAGAUCUGCACAACACUUUUGCAGUCAGGUCUUCCCUGUGGAUCCUGCAGAGCUGCCUUAUGCUGGGGCUCAGACAAGUGACAAUAAAGAUGCCACCCAGGAGGUUUAUCAUGUGAUGUGAAAGCAGCAGGAUAAGAUGGAGAGACUGAAUCAUGGUGAGACAACUUACAGGAAGAGCUGUCCUUUGUGGAAAUCAGUUGUACAGUACCCAAUGUUCACCAGGAGAUCACACUCCUUUGCUGGAGCCAGGGGCUGCCGGUUCAGCUGGAAACCACAGUGCUUCUGGAUGACGUUUUCCUCUCCUCCCACUGAAUCAGCCUUUUAUUUACCCAUUGGAAUGCAAAGUAACAGGACACCCUG
Molecule: long non-coding RNA, 587 nt
Filed under: Gallus gallus (chicken)
Lineage: Eukaryota; Metazoa; Chordata; Aves; Galliformes; Phasianidae
Description: long non-coding RNA NONGGAT005224
Source: RNAcentral